UCUGGUUCUUUUAUGACUCUAAUUCCUUCACAAUGUGUCACAUAUUAUAGGCAAUCACUAGGUAAUUUUGAAUGAGCAGUUCUAACGUUUCAGCAUCUUUUAUAGCUCUGAUGUUUAUGCUACACAUACUGUACUUACUGGUAAUUGAAAAGAAAGGCAGUUUAUUUUUGCUUUUAUAAAACCAGGUUGGACUCGAAGUGGCCUCUUUGAAGUGGUAGAAUCUGAGACUGAUCUUUGAAGUCUGGCUGUCAUGGUUGAUGGACCUCCCAAAAAAUUGGGGGUAUUUGGGAAGCAUCUAGGGCUUAUGCAACUCUCUGUUGGUUUUAUUUUUAGUUGAGUCCUAGAGCUGUACUCAUAAAUCACAAGCUGACUCAAAAGAGAGAUUGCUUUGGUUAUUCUAAAGAUAAAGGGGGAAAAAAAAAAACAGCGAGAUUUGUCAAGUAGCAACUUUCAGCACUGGGCUGUGUCAUUUAAAAUAUGUAUUCUCAUGUAAGUGUCAAAAGAACCCUGCCAGUAGUAAUAUAUUUUCUUCUUUUAGAUGUAAAAGGAGGUUCAGAAAAAGUAACUAAUUUACUUGAACUUUAAGUUCUCUGGGAUCCAAGUGUCUGGCACAGAGGAGUCAUUCAACUAAAUGUGAAUUAAAUUUAUUCAAGGGUCCUUAGUCAGACAGCGAUGGAUCAGGCUGAGUUUGAACCCAAAGCUGUUGGUAUUUGAAGCUCAUCCUCUUUCCAUUAUUGUCUCUCCUGUAAAUAGAAAUUCUCAUAGAGAGAGAACCAGAACCGGCAUUAUUAGCUUUUCAUUGUAGCUCUUUUGCUCUUUCAGCUCAGGCUGCAUGAGACUGAAGUUUUGAACAUUUGGGCCCAAAUAUCAUUUUUCUCUGUCUAUGCUCUUUGCCCAGAGAUGAUGCUAAGGAUAAACUUGACUUCCUGGCAACAUCUCAGCCAGAAACUGAGAACUGUUAGAACACACUCUUCCUGAUAUCCUAAGGAGGCAAAAAUACACAUUUGGAAAGAAUAAAGUUGCCGAAACGGUAACACCAUUUGCAUUUUAUUCUCUGUCUCCUCCCUCCGCCCCCAGGGUAGGGGCUAGUGGCCAUCCAAACCCAGCCAAGAAGUCAGCAAGUUAGAACUUUAUCAUGUUUAUCGUUCUGGUUCGUGGGUUUGUUUUUAAUAAAGUCCUGGCUCUCCAAGUAGCUGAGGACUAUUUCACAUGAUCAGCAGAUUUAAAAGUCUUUUCCUGAGCUCUAGGACAAAGGAGAAUAUAUUACAUUUUAUACGCACAAACUCUCAUUCCCACACUUCCCUCCCAGCUGACACAAAUACUUGGUUUUUUACAUUUUUUUUUUAGACACUGCAUCUACUUUUUAAGACUCAAUUUGAAUCGAUGCUUUUUUAAUUUGAAUGCUGCACAAAUGAUACUUGCUCUUCUGCCACACCCACUGGUGCCAAAGAGAGGAGGAAAGUGGUGACUGUUGGAAGCACAGCUUUGUGUAGGGCACCGUGAGAGCCAGCACCUAACUGGUGAGAAGUUACACGGAGGAGCCGGGAGGUCAGUACAUGCAAUGCUCUUCUGGUGUUGAGCCUCUCAAGGAGUGGAAGCGGGACGGGCUUGGGAGACGGUCUGUUCACAGGGAGGACAGAUGUCUCAGAAACGGAAGGAGUGUGGAGUGAGGAAGAUGGGGCUAAACGUCCAGUGCCCACUCGGACUAGGAUUUCUUUAGUCCCCCGCCCAGUGCCCUUGGCCUUCGGAAACUAGCAAUUUGGUUUUGUUUCUUAUUUUGAGAAAAUUGUAUCAUGUGAGACAAAAUGGAGUCCAAAGGAUAAUAGAAAAGGAAUUAAAAUUUUUAGUAUAUGUUAAUAGACACACGCAUGCGUGAGUGCGUGCUGUGGGGAUGGGUGGGGCAGGCGCUGCAGGUGUCCUGGCACCUGGUCCCACCCCCACCUUAGUUGUCGAGCCUACCCUCAUCCCUCCUGCUGGAUCUUCUUCCCCCUGUUCUGUCAGCACAUUGCCCUCGCCCUCUUCUUCCUGGCUCUGUGAUCUUGGGGAUCACUUAACUACUCUGGGCAUUGGCUGCUUCUCCUCUAAAAUGGAGAUAUUAGUGUCUCCUUGCAAGUCAUGAUAAAUGUUAGGGAGCUUGUGUGCAGAACACCAGCGCAGGGUCUCGAAAGCGAGAGGCAGCUGGUUUUGUCUUUCUUUCAAACGUUUGUUCAGCAGAUCAAGACUUGAACACCAGGACUGGGUAUAUGCUCGGCUCACUCUUAAGGAUACAAGCACAGAACCUUCUCAUCAGGGGCUCGUAAAAUACUGAGAAAGACAUGUUUUACUGCAGGGUGGAGCAUGUGCUUGGACGCAAAUAUACCCCAGAACACAGCUCAGAUACCCAGGUUCCUCAGGAAUCAACUUCUCUGAUUCCAUUUUCCUCUAUUCUGGAAAUAGUUGUUCCCCCUUUUGAGCUUCAGAGAGGUGUGCUAGCCAGUAAUGGCACCACAGGUGUGGCGACUGUGUACUUGAAAUGUGGUUAUUUUAUUUGAGAUGUGCUAUAAGCGUAAAGCACACAGCAGACUUCAAAGGCUU
RNAcentral lists this long non-coding RNA (2574 nucleotides) under Sus scrofa (pig). Its description in RNAcentral is "lncRNA (ENSSSCG00060013038.1)". The record is from RNAcentral. Lineage: Eukaryota; Metazoa; Chordata; Mammalia; Artiodactyla; Suidae.